This 422-nucleotide ribosomal RNA is filed under the name uncultured bacterium. RNAcentral describes it as "bacterial SSU rRNA". It matches the Rfam family "Bacterial small subunit ribosomal RNA", at positions 75 to 518 of the family's 1533-position model. The record is from RNAcentral.
UUACUCGGUAAGUGGAAAGUGGCGGACGGGUGAGUAAUGUGUAGAGAAUCUGCCCUAGAGUGGGGGAUAGCAGUUGGAAACGACUAUUAAUACCCCAUAUGCGCGUAGCUGAGAUGCUAUUCGUGAAAACUCCGGUGCUCUGGGAUGAGUCUGCAUCUGAUUAGCUAGUUGGCGGUGUAAUGGACCACCAAGGCGACGAUCAGUAGCUGGUUUGAGAGGAUGAUCAGCCACAAUGGGACUGAGACACGGCCCAUACUCCUACGGGAGGCAGCAGUAGGGAAUUUUGCGCAAUGGGGGCAACCCUGACGCCAGCAACGCCGCGUGAAUGAAGAAGCCCUUCGGGGUGUAAAGUUCUGUCAGUGGGGACGAAACUUGACGGUACCCACAGAGGAAGCAUCGGCUAACUCCGUGCCAGCAGCAGC